This is a long non-coding RNA of Dreissena polymorpha, 880 nucleotides long. RefSeq lists it as uncharacterized. The record is from RefSeq and is a predicted model, not a curated record. The transcript has 2 exons. Lineage: Eukaryota; Metazoa; Mollusca; Bivalvia; Myida; Dreissenidae.
AUUUGACAUGUAACAAGCACCGAACAUGUAAUAUGAAAUGAUUGAAAUUAAAACUAAUAGAAGUUAUAUGAUUUUAAAACAUAGUUUUCUUUACUCUUUCAGAUUGACAACCAAAAUGACUUUUCAUAUUCCAUCACUGAGAAAGAAACAUGAUGUUUGAUGAACCAGUGCACAGAUGGAAAAUAUGUUUGAAGUAGAUCAAUGCAAAAUUCCUGUUGAUAAGACUUUAAGUUGGGACAUUUUGGUAUUUAAUUUUUAUCAACCACAGGAGACUACAUCUAAUUAAUUCAUUUAAUUAUAUAAUUUAAGUUCAACACUCCACUAGCAAAUAUCAUGCUAAAUACUCAUGUUGAUAGUCCUGUAAAGUUGUUUAUUAAAAAAUUUGUUUUUUUAACUUACUGAUUAGUAACAUGGUUACCCGUUAUGUAUAUUAUGUGAACAUUUGUUAUGUGAAUUACUAAGGUAAAGUUGGUAUUUGGUGUAUAAAUUAAUGUUUUUUUCCAUGAAAUGUCCUUGCUAGAAAAGUUUGGGUUACAAUCAUGACAGUACUUAAUAUAAAUGUAUACAGCAGCUUAUCAUUCUAUUAUUAUAAAUUGACAAUAAUUCUAUAAAGUUUAUGUGGCAUACUAUUAAUGCUAUUUCAACUUGUUUAUAUGAACAUUAAUAAAUGUACAUUGAAAAAAUAAGGAAUAUUCAAUUGCUUACUUCUGAAUAAUUUGAUAAUAAUGUGUAAUAAAAAAUAUCUGCAUUAUAAUUUUAUAUAACAUAAUUAUAAUUAUGCUCUGAGAUCAUUACAUACUCUUCGCAUAUUUAUAUACUUUCCAUAACAUAGUUUAAUGAAUAUGUUAUUCAAUUCAAUAAUAAACUAUGUACAAGUUUU